ACGAACGCUGGCGGCGUGCUUCACACAUGCAAGUCGAACGGAAAGGCCCUGCUUUUGUGGGGUGCUCGAGUGGCGAACGGGUGAGUAACACGUGAGUAACCUGCCCUUGACUUUGGGAUAACUUCAUGAAACUGGGGCUAAUACCGGAUAGGAGCUCCUGCUGCAUGGUGGGGGUUGGAAAGUUUCGGCGGUUGGGGAUGGACUCGCGGCUUAUCAGCUUGUUGGUGGGGUAGUGGCUUACCAAGGCUUUGACGGGUAGCCGGCCUGAGAGGGUGACCGGCCACAUUGGGACUGAGAUACGGCCCAGACUCCUACGGGAGGCAGCAGUGGGGAAUAUUGCACAAUGGGCGGAAGCCUGAUGCAGCAACGCCGCGUGCGGGAUGACGGCCUUCGGGUUGUAAACCGCUUUCGCCUGUGACGAAGCGUGAGUGACGGUAAUGGGUAAAGAAGCACCGGCUAACUACGUG
This 467-nucleotide ribosomal RNA is filed under the name uncultured bacterium. Its description in RNAcentral is "partial 16S ribosomal RNA". It matches the Rfam family "Bacterial small subunit ribosomal RNA", at positions 29 to 507 of the family's 1533-position model. The record is from RNAcentral.